This 272-nucleotide ribosomal RNA is filed under the name uncultured bacterium. RNAcentral describes it as "partial 16S ribosomal RNA". It matches the Rfam family "Bacterial small subunit ribosomal RNA", at positions 524 to 794 of the family's 1533-position model. The record is from RNAcentral.
UACGGAGGGUGCGAGCGUUAAUCGGAAUUACUGGGCGUAAAGGGCGCGUAGGCGGCUGAUCAAGUCAGGUGUGAAAGCCCACGGCUUAACCGUGUGAAGUGCAUCUGAAACUGGUCGGCUUGAGUAUCGGAGAGGAAAGUGGAAUUCCCGGUGUAGAGGUGAAAUGCGUAGAUAUCCGGAGGAACACCAGUGGCGAAAGCGGCUCUCUGGACCAAUACUGACGCUGAGGCGCGAAGGCGUGGGUAGCAAACAGGAUUAGAAACCCUGGUAGU